This 253-nucleotide ribosomal RNA is filed under the name uncultured bacterium. RNAcentral describes it as "partial 16S ribosomal RNA". It matches the Rfam family "Bacterial small subunit ribosomal RNA", at positions 524 to 776 of the family's 1533-position model. The record is from RNAcentral.
UACGUAGGGCGCAAGCGUUAUCCGGAAUUAUUGGGCGUAAAGAGCGUGUAGGCGGCCAGGUAGGUCUGGUGUGAAAACUCGAGGCUUAACCUCGAGAUGUCAUCGGAAACCAUUUGGCUAGAGUCCGGAAGAGGAGAGUGGAAUUCCUGGUGUAGCGGUGAAAUGCGCAGAUAUCAGGAAGAACACCAAUGGCGAAAGCAGCUCUCUGGGACGGUACUGACGCUGAGACGCGAAAGCGUGGGGAGCGAACAGG